UACGAAGGGGGCUAGCGUUGCUCGGAUUUACUGGGCGUAAAGGGCGCGUAGGCGGACAGUUUAGUCAGAGGUGAAAGCCCAGGGCUCAACCUUGGAAUUGCCUUUGAUACUGGCUGUCUUGAGUACGGGAGAGGUGAGUGGAACUCCGAGUGUAGAGGUGAAAUUCGUAGAUAUUCGGAAGAACACCAGUGGCGAAGGCGGCUCACUGGCCCGGUACUGACGCUGAGGUGCGAAAGCGUGGGGAGCAAACAGG
Molecule: ribosomal RNA, 253 nt
Filed under: uncultured bacterium
Lineage: Bacteria
Description: partial 16S ribosomal RNA
Rfam family: Bacterial small subunit ribosomal RNA
Source: RNAcentral